This 1884-nucleotide long non-coding RNA is filed under the name Nicotiana tabacum (common tobacco). RNAcentral's name for it is "long non-coding RNA (NTAB_LNC000655)". Lineage: Eukaryota; Viridiplantae; Streptophyta; Magnoliopsida; Solanales; Solanaceae. The record is from RNAcentral.
GCGAGUACUCGACACCAAAUGGCCCGAAUCUAUUCAAUUCAAUUUCAUAAUGUAAAUAACACUUCGAGUAACUGUCACACCUCCUUUUUUACCUACACCCCCGGAAGGGCGUAAAGGGUGUAUAAGGGAGUUUUUCCAAUUAAAGGACAAUCGAAAUAGGAUUUAUUUAUUUAUUUAAAAUUCAGAGUCGCCACUUGGGAGAUUUAUGGUGUCCCAAGUCACCGGUUUAAAAUUCCGAAUCGGGAAAAUGUUGACUCUGUAUUACAGUCCACGAACCAGAAAUCCGAGUAAGGAAUUCUGUUAACUCGGGAGAAAGUGUUAGGCAUUCCCGAGUUCCGUGGUUCUAGCACGGUCGCUCAACUGUUAUAUUCGGCUUAAUAUCUGAUUUUAAACAAUUAUGAAUCUAUGUGCAGAUUUUAACUUUUGACCGCUUUUAGUUAAUUUAAGGAAGAUUUCAACGUUAUCUAAAACACGUCUUUGGACCACGCCACAUGAAAUGCACCCGCGGUCCGAGACACAUUUUAUUUAACGUUGUUAAAAUUUUAGAACCGGGCCACAUGAAAUGUACCCCGAGUUUUGGAAAUUAAGCAUCACAACUACGUCACGGGAACCAAACCCGUAGCCAUGAUAAUUAUUAUAACGCGCCAGAAGCACACUACAAUGUUCAUGAUUCUUCCUAAACUUCGAGAUUAUUGUGAGGCUCAAGUGUUAUGGAAGUCAAAUGUGGGAGCAAAGAGAUUUAUCUUUUACGGAUACAUUUGUAAUGCAAGAUUUGUUUAUUUGGCUCAUAUUCUUUCAACUGGCCAUCGAUAUAAUUUGACAAAAUUAAACUUCCCUUUCCUAAAUAGCCCAAUUACUGCAACUAUUAAUUUAAAGUAAAGGAAAACUAAAAUUACAUUAAAAUUCCAUUUUUUCAUACUACUCAAAGGACGUUUUGGUCAUGCUGAAUUGUUCAGGCACAUAAGGAAUGAAUUGAGUAAUCAAAUUUCUAACACAAACUUCAAAACUUGAUGGGAAAAGAUAGCUGUACUUAAAUUGGAAUUCAGUUACACUUACUAAGAUAAACUUAUUCACCUUAAGAGCAAAAUAAGUCUGACAAACUAGGUCCAAAUCUCAUUAUUAAACACUCGUUACCACAGAUCAAAGAAUGAUACAAUUAAUAAUAAGAGCAAUGAGUAAACUAAUCAAAUCAACAAAAUAAAUGCAUACCACAGGAAAAAAAACAAAACAAACCAAAGCAUUCAACAAGCUGAAAUAACGAGAUGAGAUAAAAUGAAUAACGGAUGGACCUUAAAUAUCUGCAAACUUUCUUCAAUAUCCGGAUCAAUUACAGAGCCUCCAACAAGAUCGUAUAGCAACACUAAAUAGAAUAACCCGCCAGAGUGAAGAAUCGCCAGGACCUUCGACUGGAUUUCUAACGGAAUCCGCUCGUCGGCGGCGACAUCGACCCCGAUGAACUCGAUUUUGGAGUCGCUGUUCUUCUGUGCGAGAAGGAGAGUAGUUUUAGGUGAUUUUCACAGCUGUGUUUGGAGCUGAAGAGGAGGUGUGGUCGCCGGACAUGGAGAAGGGAGAUUGGUUUUGAAGGUGAUAAACAACGACCCUAAAACUUUUUCCUUUCAAUCUGCUUUCUGAUUUUCACUCGAAACUGGAUCAUGAACGAAGAAACCAAUUUCGUCUAGGGUGGAGAUGGUCGCUCUAGGGUGCGUCGUUCAUGUCUGUUCCGUGCGAAGAAGAAGAAACAACGACGACGGGAUUUUUUGAUUCCGGCGAACUUGGUUGACGGGGGAUGCAGAGGAUCGUCGUCUGGGUGAUCGGCGUAAGCUCAGGUGCGGGGUGUGGUGAUUUCCGGCGAAAGGUCACUGUUUUGGGUUAUUCUGCUGAAGA